AUGUGCUCACACAUGGGCUGUCGAGAAUACUGCUUAGCUAGGGAGUGGGAGAGGUAGACGGUACUCUGGAGGAAGUGGUAAAAUGCUUUGAUCUCUAGAUGACCACCAGUGGCGAAGGCGGUCUACCAGAACACGUCCGACGGUGAGGGAUGAAAGCUGGGGGAGCAAACCGGAUUAGAUACCCGGGUAGUCCCAGCUGUAAACUAUGCAAACUCAGUGAUGCAUUGGCUUGUGGCCAAUGCAGUGCCGCAGAGAAGUCGUUAAGUUUGCCGCCUGGGAAGUACGUACGCAAGUAUGAAACUUAAAGGAAUUGGCGGGGGAGCACCACAAGGGGUGAAGCCUGCGGUUCAAUUGGAGUCAACGCCAGAAAUCUUACCCGGAGAGACAGCAGAAUGAAGGUCAAGCUGAAGACUUUACCAGACAAGCUGAGAAGUGGUGCAUGGCCGUCGCCAGCUCGUGCCGUGAGAUGUCCUGUUAAGUCAGGUAACGAGCGAGAUCCCUGCCUCUAGUUGCCACCAUUACUCUCAGGAGUAGUGGGGCGAAUUAGCGGGACUGCCGCAGUUAAUGCGGAGGAAGGAGGGGGCCACGGCAGGUCAGUAUGCCCCGAAAAUCG
This 613-nucleotide ribosomal RNA is filed under the name uncultured archaeon. Its description in RNAcentral is "bacterial SSU rRNA". It matches the Rfam family "Archaeal small subunit ribosomal RNA", at positions 553 to 1165 of the family's 1478-position model. The record is from RNAcentral.